GCCAGAAGGCUUACAGUUUUCCCAAGGGGCAGAGGUAAAUCCCUCUAAGGCAAACCUAUUGCUGAGACCACCAUAUCUUUUAUUAAGCCUUUAAAAAAAUCAUAGUGGACUGGAAAGUUCCUCUAGGACUGAUCACAGCCCAGUGUCUCCAUUUUCAAUUCAGGAAAGACGCUCAUUUUACAAUUGAGAAAACUGAGGCCAUGCAGAUGAAAUGACCUGUCCAGUUAUCACACAGAUGAGAUCUAUUGUUAAACAUCUACCAACACAUAG
Molecule: long non-coding RNA, 270 nt
Filed under: Sarcophilus harrisii (Tasmanian devil)
Lineage: Eukaryota; Metazoa; Chordata; Mammalia; Dasyuromorphia; Dasyuridae
Description: lncRNA (ENSSHAG00000026370.1)
Source: RNAcentral